AGCACUGCCUCUGCUCCGCCCUGUUUGCAUAAACUCUCUUUUAUUUCUUUUCAGAUAAGUCAUAAUACCCGCCUUUGAACUCCAAAGAGUACAAAUGGACUUUGUUUUCAUCACCAUUCUUGUAUAAAUUGACAUAUUUAAGCAAGAAUAAGUAGUUACGCAACAUAUACGUGUACCUAAACUAAUCAUAUAGAACAACAGAUAUGUUGAUCAGAUUUUCGUGGAAAUAAAUAACGAAAAUGAAAGCCUAUCCCUGUCUUGAACAAUACCGUUUAAUCAUGGGGCCAAGGACCAUGAUUUUCUCUCGAACAAUCCGUCCCAUAAUCCAUUUGUAUUAAGAACAAACACAAAAAUACAAAGCACUUUUUCUCUAUAAAUAUUUACAGAUGAUAUUUUCAUGGGUUAAUUCUAUCCGAAAAACACUAUAAUGGGGCAAAAUGUUUGCUGCAUGAAACAGCCAGAUUUACCUAAUGAGCCUAAAAGGAUUAUCCGUUUUGACUCGAAUUGCAGCACUCCUGCCUCUUCGACAGCUUCAAGAAUAAAUUCAAGGCAAGAACAGAAAAGUCUUUGCAGUCCUCCAACGAGAAAAUUACCUGGAGCGACUGAAGCUUGGACAUUGGAGCGAUGCCUUAUGGAUUCGCCAGAAGUGAAUAUAUCUCCAUGUACUAAUAAUAUUGGUGGUGAUAAUCGCCUUAAAUUUGUGAAGAGGUACAAGAAAAUUGACAUGACUUCCCCUGAUCUGAAUACGGAUUUCUUUACUCCGAGUCUCAGCUUCUCCUCCAACAAAUUAGGACUUCUACAGAAUAUUGAUGAAGGGGAAGAUGUAGGUUCUUGUGGGGGUUCUAGAGGUCGGAAGGUGAACAAGAAAGUGAGCUUCAAAUUGCCCGAAGAAGCUGAUAUCAUCAUAUUCUACUCACCUAGAGAGAAGUUUGAAGAAUACUAGAGUUAAAAAGAAGUUUUUCUUAUUCAAGUAUUAGGUCAUCUGCAGAAUUUUGAAUUCAUGCAUGAUGCAUACACAGUGAUCAGCCUCCGCGAGCAGAGCUGGCUCCAGAUGUUAGAAGACGUGAUCUAACACAUAGCAAGUAAACACUUAAUCAUCCGUCCCAGAGCUUGGGUGCUUGGAAUAUUACCCCUAGUAGUGAAUUCAGCAUGUACAGAAAUAAUUGGCCAUAUGGUCUCAUAGAGUAUGUU
RNAcentral lists this long non-coding RNA (1191 nucleotides) under Daucus carota (carrot). Its description in RNAcentral is "long non-coding RNA (DCAR_LNC005724)". Lineage: Eukaryota; Viridiplantae; Streptophyta; Magnoliopsida; Apiales; Apiaceae. The record is from RNAcentral.